CCCUGUUUCGAAAGUGACCGUGGUGUGUGUGGUCUCCAGGUCAUUGAUAAAACAGGAAGAGGAAGUGAAAGUGUUUCCCGUGUGUGCUGGACUCUGUUCCUGACAGACCCUGAAUCUUUCACACA
Small nucleolar RNA from Danio rerio (zebrafish), 125 nucleotides. Its record names the gene SNORA71. It matches the Rfam family "Small nucleolar RNA SNORA71". From Rfam's summary of the family: The members of this family belong to the H/ACA class of snoRNAs which bind a number of proteins (including dyskerin, Gar1p and Nop10p) to form snoRNP complexes. This class of snoRNAs are thought to guide the sites of modification of uridines to pseudouridines by forming direct base pairing interactions with substrate RNAs. The record is from Ensembl. NCBI's taxonomy places the organism in Eukaryota, Metazoa, Chordata, Actinopteri, Cypriniformes, Danionidae.